This 397-nucleotide ribosomal RNA is filed under the name uncultured bacterium. Its description in RNAcentral is "partial 16S ribosomal RNA". It matches the Rfam family "Bacterial small subunit ribosomal RNA", at positions 523 to 918 of the family's 1533-position model. The record is from RNAcentral.
AUACGUAGGUGCCAAGCGUUAUCCGGAUUUACUGGGCGUAAAGGGCGUGUAGGCGGUCUUGCAAGUCAGAAGUGAAAUUCCUGAGCUCAACUCGGGCGCUGCUUCUGAAACUGCAGGACUUGAGUGCUGGAGGGGAUAGCGGAAUUCCUAGUGGAGCGGUAAAAUGCGCAGAUAUUAGGAAGAACACCGGUGGCGAAGGCGGCUAUCUGGACAGUAACUGACGCUGAGGCUCGAAAGCGUGGGGAGCAAACAGGAUUAGAUGCCCUGGUAGUCCACGCCGUAAACGAUGAAUACUAGGUGUAGGGGGUAUCGACUCCCUCUGUGCCGCAGUUAACACAAUAAGUAUUCCGCCUGGGGAGUACGGCCGCAAGGUUGAAACUCAAAUGAAUUGACGGGG